Molecule: ribosomal RNA, 301 nt
Filed under: uncultured bacterium
Lineage: Bacteria
Description: partial 16S ribosomal RNA
Rfam family: Bacterial small subunit ribosomal RNA
Source: RNAcentral
CAGUCGCCACGGGAAUACAGAGGGUGCAAGCGUUAAUCGGAAUUACUGGGCGUAAAGCGCGCGUAGGUGGUUUGUUAAGUUGGAUGUGAAAUCCCCGGGCUCAACCUGGGAACUGCAUCCAAAACUGGCAAGCUAGAGUAUGGUAGAGGGUGGUGGAAUUUCCUGUGUAGCGGUGAAAUGCGUGGAUAUAGGAAGGAACACCAGUGGCGAAGGCGACCACCUGGACUGAUACUGACACUGAGGUGCGAAAGCGUGGGGAGCAAACAGGAUUAGAUACCCCGGUAGUCCCUGUCUCUUAACA